This 75-nucleotide transfer RNA is filed under the name Lentisphaerae bacterium GWF2_57_35. RNAcentral describes it as "tRNA-Asn". It matches the Rfam family "tRNA". From Rfam's summary of the family: Transfer RNA (tRNA) molecules are approximately 80 nucleotides in length. Lineage: Bacteria; Pseudomonadati; Lentisphaerota. The record is from RNAcentral. RNAcentral also lists the same sequence under 3 other names.
UCCGGUGUAGCGCAGUGGUAGCGCAGGUGACUGUUAAUCACUUGGUCGUAGGUUCGAAUCCUACCACCGGAGCCA